GACGAACGCUGGCGGCGUGCUUAACACAUGCAAGUCGAACGGAAAGGCCCUGCUUUUGUGGGGUGCUCGAGUGGCGAACGGGUGAGUAACACGUGAGUAACCUGCCCUUGACUUUGGGAUAACUUCAGGAAACUGGGGCUAAUACCGGAUAGGAGCUCCUGCUGCAUGGUGGGGGUUGGAAAGUUUCGGCGGUUGGGGAUGGACUCGCGGCUUAUCAGCUUGUUGGUGGGGUAGUGGCUUACCAAGGCUUUGACGGGUAGCCGGCCUGAGAGGGUGACCGGCCACAGUGGGACUGAGAUACGGCCCAGACUCCUACGGGAGGCAGCAGUGGAGAAUAUUGCACAAUGGGCGGAAGCCUGAUGCAGCAACGCCGCGUGCGGGAUGACGGCCUUCGGGUUGUAAACCGCUUUCGCCUGUGACGAAGCGUGAGUGACGGUAAUGGGUAAAGAAGCACCGGCUAACUACGUG
Molecule: ribosomal RNA, 468 nt
Filed under: uncultured bacterium
Lineage: Bacteria
Description: partial 16S ribosomal RNA
Rfam family: Bacterial small subunit ribosomal RNA
Source: RNAcentral